UACGUAGGGUGCGAGCGUUGUCCGGAAUUAUUGGGCGUAAAGAGCUUGUAGGCGGUUUGUCGCGUCUGCCGUGAAAAUUCGAAGGCUCGAACCUCGCAACUUGCGGUGGGUGACGGGGCAGACUAGAGUGUGGUAGGGGGAGACUGGAAUUCCUGGUGUAGCGGUGAAAUGCGCAGAUAUCAGGAGGAACACCGAGUGGCGAAGGCAGGUCUCUGGGCCACUACUGACGCUGAGAAGCGAAAGCAUGGGGAGCGAACAGG
This 260-nucleotide ribosomal RNA is filed under the name uncultured bacterium. Its description in RNAcentral is "partial 16S ribosomal RNA". It matches the Rfam family "Bacterial small subunit ribosomal RNA", at positions 524 to 776 of the family's 1533-position model. The record is from RNAcentral.